GCCUGGGUGGCUCAGUCUGUUGAGCAUCUGACUUCGGCUCAGGUCAUGAUCUCACAGUUUGUGGGUUCGAGCCCCGCGUCGGGCU
RNAcentral lists this transfer RNA (85 nucleotides) under Felis catus (domestic cat). It matches the Rfam family "tRNA". Rfam says of the family: Transfer RNA (tRNA) molecules are approximately 80 nucleotides in length. Lineage: Eukaryota; Metazoa; Chordata; Mammalia; Carnivora; Felidae. The record is from Rfam by way of RNAcentral.